This 253-nucleotide ribosomal RNA is filed under the name uncultured bacterium. RNAcentral describes it as "partial 16S ribosomal RNA". It matches the Rfam family "Bacterial small subunit ribosomal RNA", at positions 524 to 776 of the family's 1533-position model. The record is from RNAcentral.
UACGUAGGGGGCAAGCGUUGUCCGGAUUUAUUGGGCGUAAAGAGCGUGUAGGCGGCCAGGUAGGUCUGCUGUGAAAACUCGAGGCUUAACCUCGAGCUGUCGGCGGAAACCCUCUGGCUAGAGUCCGGAAGAGGAGAAUGGAAUUCCCGGUGUAGCGGUGAAAUGCGCAGAUAUCGGGAAGAACACCCGUGGCGAAGGCGGUUCUCUGGGACGGUACUGACGCUGAGACGCGAAAGCGUGGGGAGCGAACAGG